Molecule: unclassified non-coding RNA, 3866 nt
Filed under: Leishmania donovani
Lineage: Eukaryota; Euglenozoa; Kinetoplastea; Trypanosomatida; Trypanosomatidae
Description: gene:LdHU3.12.1280(CDS-product:hypothetical_prote in_conserved)
Source: RNAcentral
CUCUGCACACACACGCCCACACACACACGUACACACACGUACACACACACACGCACACACACACACACACGUACACACACGUACACACACACACGCACACACGCACACGCAAGGCUGCCGAGCACAGGGCCGCGCCGCGCCGGUCGCCGCUUGUCUGCGCUCUUCGCGGGGGGGGGUCGAGCGCGCACGUGCGUUUGUGCGUGCGGGGGUGGCUGAUGCGUUUGCUUCGCUCUCCCGCCUCGUGCAGCCCCCUGCCUGGUGAUGCUGCGCUGUGCCCCUAGCAAGCUGUUCCGCGCCACGCCGCUGCUGCGUGUGUGGGCCGCGGAGGAGGACGACGCGAGCGCCCCGCGGACGACCUUCCGGAACGUGAGGCCCGGCCGGCUGCUGCGGCUGUGGCGCCAGAUGCGGCAGCGCGCAUGGAUCCUGUACGCGUGGGAUGAGGAGUGGGUGUCGCCGAUGCAGGAGGGCUACCUGCACCAGCAGCGUCUCGAGCAGGUGUGCUUCGCGCCGCUGUCCGCGUACGGCAUGGUGCCUGGCAGCUACUGCGAUCCCCUGCUGUACAACACCAAGAGCACGUCGCCGUUCCGGUGGCACGUGGCGAACGUGCAGGGCGACAUUGUCGGACACUGGUACAUGGACGCCGACGAGCUGUUCCGCAUCAAGGACUGGCAGCCAAGGAACCCGGACGACCCGCUGGAGAUGUUCCCGCGACCGCCGCAGAUGCUGCUGCGGUGGGACGAGUCGGUGGACGAGCACGGCAACCGCGCGUUCCGGUACAGGUACGACUACGAUAUGAUGGGCCCCACGGGCAAGUGGGAGGCGUACCCGCGGUACCCCUUCUCUCACCUUUACCAUGGCGGGCCAGACCAGCACGGACGCGCUGAGGGGUACGGCUUCCAGCAGGGCCACCUCCUGCGCUGCGACGAGGCGGAGGAGGAGGUGCUGCGCCGCAUCAUGGAGGGGGAGGACAGGGAGUGGGAGAUGGUGAAGCGGACGGAGGCGGUGCAGGAGCCGUGGUCGUACCCCGGCAAGAUCCGCCCGAGGGACUUUGAGGGGCGGUGGAGCGUGCCAAGGCGCGGUUCCGCGAGCGGGUCCGACACGGCAAGGAGACGGACCCGAGCGAGGACCCCGAGUACGACCUUGCUCAGGCCAGCGAGUACGUGGAGCCGCGCGAUGGGCGGCGGGCGGAAUGGCGGCAUUUGUGGGCGUCGGGCCGCAAGCCCGGCGAGUCGCUGCCCUUCCAAGUAACGUUCAACGACGGACUGUGCUUCGAGGAGAACGAGGGCGGCCCGCCAGCGCACCCGGCGGCGCACUACGAGGCGACGCCGAAGGGGGCGCCGCACGGGAGGUACGAGGACGCCGACGCCGCUGCAGCCCGCGCAGCUGAAGCGGCGCACAAGGCUGCGUGUGAGCAGUCGUUGAGCGAGGCGAUGGAGCGGCAUCGCAGGCUGUUUGGCGACACGAGCGGCGAGCCGAGCGGGCCGAGGGCGCCUCUGCCGACGGGUUGCCGGCCGAUGAGGUGCGCGCCGGGCCCGCCGCUGCCAUCUGGCCGCAGCCGGAGCUCGGCGCCAGAGCAGUGAGCAGCGGGCCCGUGUGUGGCGCAGGGGCGCGUGAUGGGAGAGCGAGGGGGAGGGGCGCGGUGGUGAAGCGCCUCCCGGCUACGGUGUGCGCGCGUGCUCACGGCGGCGGCGGGAGGGGUGGGUGUGACGACGGCGCGACACGCUCGACACGGGUGCCGCCUCGUCUCUCUCUCCUUCGGGAGUUUGACUGCCGCCCGCCACGCGCCUGGUGCUCGCUGCCCGCCGGCACCGUGUGCGCGGCUCAUCCGCACCCCUGCGGUGCCUUGCAAGGCCGGCAUUUGGUGCCGCAUUGGACGGGCGGGUGCGGCUACGAUGGCGGCGGUAGGGCUGCCUGCGCCGCACCGCUUGCGCGUGUGCGCCAACGGACCGUCCACACCCUUUCCCCACUCGUCUCCGCUCGGCGCUUCCCGGGUCUCCUGCUUGGCAUGCGCUGCCGCGCUCGUAGCGGCUCGGGCAAUGGGAGGCGGAGGCGGCGGCCGCUGCGGAACGAGAGAGGCGGCGAUGGAGGCACGCUGGGUGAAGGGGCGCGGGGCGGUGGACGAGCGUGCCCCGUCACCCUCCCCCUGCCCUGCGAUCUGCUCCCGCUGAUGCGCGGCUGCCGACGGUGCCGAUGCUCUGCCUUCCGUCUCCUCUACGCGCCCUUGCGUGUCUCUCGGCAGGCCUCGGGGCAUCACGCACGCACCCGCACAUACACGUGCGUGCGUCUGUGCGCGUGCGCGUGUGCCUCUGAUGCUGGCCGCCUCUGUCGUGGCCCGGCGCGCGCUGCUGCUGGCCGGGUAACGGGCGCAUGCAGUCACACAGGCCCGCAUCUCCGUCCGCAUCUCGCUCUCCCCGGCCCCCCGCACCGCCGCCCGCGUCCGGUGCGCUGCUUGCGUGCCUCACCGCCCGUGGCAUCCGCCUCUGCCUGCUGGUAUGCUGCGCGCCCCCUCGCUCUCCUCCUCCCUGCCCUGCGCCGCCCGCCCCGCAAGAGCCAUGCACGCGCGUCGGCUCCCCUGACCGCCUGUGCUCACGAGCAGCCGCGGAGGGUGGGGGAGGCGAACGGAUGCCGGUGCGGCUGUGCGUGCCGAUGGAGGGCAUCCGGAUGCCGCGCUGCCGCCCGUGCCGCCGUCGCGGUGGCGUUGCGGGUGUCUCUUGUCUGGUUUGCUUUGCCGCUGCGUGCUGAGCGGAGGCGUGCGCGGCGGGCGGGGCGUUCCUGAGCGCGCCGCGGACUCCGCACACCGGGUGCGGUGAGCUGGAGGACUCGGUGGCCGGCGCUUGGAGCGAUGUGGUGGGGAGGGGCUGAGGGCGUCGAGCCGCUGAGUGGCGCCGUGCGCGCGUGACGGAACGCACAUCGCAGAGUGGGCUGUGCCGGCCGCCUGGCCAACUGCUCGCGCGGGUGUGCGCCGGCGCCCUGGAUGAGCGGUGGCAGUGCGUGCACGGCGGCCGUGAUGGGGGCCGCGGACGGCGCGACCGCGAGCGUCUGCACAGCGCGUCGCAGCCGCACCAGCGCGUGCCGUGUGCCCUGGGCGUGCGGCGGCCGCAGCCACGCAUGGCGCGUCGCAGCUGUCUGGGUGGCGGAGGCACCGGCGCGCUGUAGCACGAUGGGCUGGCCAUACGCGACGUGGCUGCUUGUACGCGCUGACUGGUGCACCCGUGCGCGCAUGUGCAGAGCGGCGUGAGCGCGCACAGGCGUGCAUAUGCCGCCACGCUCACACGGGAGUGGUGUGGCCUGCUGCGCUGGUCUCCCUCUGUUGGACGCAGGGCUGCGGGUAGGCGGUGCGGGCUUGCGGGGGCGCACGUGCGCGAGCGCUGGGUGGUGCGCGCCGCUGCUCUCCCGCUGCUCUCCGCCGAGCACCCCCUCGCCGACGAGCCGCUGCCGCUGCCUUGCACAUCCUUCUUUCUGUGUGCGAGGUGCAUGAUAAUGGUAUGCGGAUGCUGGUGGGGCUGCGCAUGGGCGCUCGCCUCUCUCCCACACGCGGGCUCGACGUAUCCGUGCUGUCAGCGCUCCUGCCCACCGCCCCCACGCGUGUGUGCGCGCGCUCCGGCGCUGCUGCCGCUGGCGCUGUUGUGUGUGUGCAGGGGCGCUCCCGCCCGCCGGCCAUGCUCUCUGUUUCGCUGGCCGCCCUCUCUACGCCGCUGGCGUGGGCGGAGCUCCGCGCUGCGUAUCGCUCGCCCCUCGCUGCCCCUCCCUGCCCCUCGCUGCCCCUCCGUGCCCCUCGCCUCCUCCUCCUCAUGUGCACUGCUCCCUCCCUCUCCCUCCCUCUCCGCUCCUCGCUGUCCCCUCGGCCGACCUCCACGGACACGCAG